Molecule: transfer RNA, 72 nt
Filed under: Salmo salar (Atlantic salmon)
Lineage: Eukaryota; Metazoa; Chordata; Actinopteri; Salmoniformes; Salmonidae
Rfam family: tRNA
About the family: Transfer RNA (tRNA) molecules are approximately 80 nucleotides in length.
Source: Rfam by way of RNAcentral
UCCCGUGUGGCUCAGUUGGUAGAGCAUGGUGUUUGCAACUCUAGGGUUCUGGGUUUGAUUCCCACGGGGGAA